RNAcentral lists this RNase P RNA (388 nucleotides) under Balneolaceae bacterium. RNAcentral's name for it is "RNase P RNA component class A". It matches the Rfam family "Bacterial RNase P class A". From Rfam's summary of the family: Ribonuclease P (RNase P) is a ubiquitous endoribonuclease, found in archaea, bacteria and eukarya as well as chloroplasts and mitochondria. Its best characterised activity is the generation of mature 5'-ends of tRNAs by cleaving the 5'-leader elements of precursor-tRNAs. The record is from RNAcentral. Lineage: Bacteria; Pseudomonadati; Balneolota; Balneolia; Balneolales; Balneolaceae.
CAGGAUUGCCGGGUAACCGCUCUCGCCUCCACGGUUUUCCGUGCGGUGGGGGAGGAAAGUCCGAACACCUGCGGACACCGCGCCCCGGGAAAGCCGGGGAGUUCUGCUUGCAGGACAUGGAAAGUGCCACAGAAAACAAACCGCUCCGGAUUUUCGGAGUAAGGGUGAAAAGGUGAGGUAAGAGCUCACCGCCCGUUCUGGUAACAGGACGGGGCACGGUAAACCCCGCGGGGUGCAAGGCCAAGUAAGGCAGUGUGUCGUCCGCCACGAUACUGUCGGGUAGGCCGCUUGAUCUCAUCAGCAAUGGUGAGACCAGACAAAUGGUUACCGGCCGGUUUCGCUUCGGCGGGACUGGCUACAGAAUUCGGCUUACAGGCAAUCCUGCUCC